CAUAAGCCAGCUUGACUGCGAGCGUGACGGCGCGAGCAGGUGCGAAAGCAGGUCAUAGUGAUCCGGUGGUUCUGAAUGGAAGGGCCAUCGCUCAACGGAUAAAAGGUACUCCGGGGAUAACAGGCUGAUACCGCCCAAGAGUUCAUAUCGACGGCGGUGUUUGGCACCUCGAUGUCGGCUCAUCACAUCCUGGGGCUGAAGUAGGUCCCAAGGGUAUGGCUGUUCGCCAUUUAAAGUGGUACGCGAGCUGGGUUUAGAACGUCGUGAGACAGUUCGGUCCCUAUCUGCCGUGGGCGCUGGAGAACUGAGGGGGGCUGCUCCUAGUACGAGAGGACCGGAGUGGACGCAUCACUGGUGUUCGGGUUGUCAUGCCAAUGGCACUGCCCGGUAGCUACAUGCGGAAGAGAUAAGUGCUGAAAGC
Molecule: ribosomal RNA, 421 nt
Filed under: Salmonella enterica subsp. enterica serovar Stanley
Lineage: Bacteria; Pseudomonadati; Pseudomonadota; Gammaproteobacteria; Enterobacterales; Enterobacteriaceae
Description: partial 23S ribosomal RNA
Rfam family: Bacterial large subunit ribosomal RNA
Source: RNAcentral